This 345-nucleotide unclassified non-coding RNA is filed under the name soil metagenome. RNAcentral describes it as "partial contains 5.8S ribosomal RNA, internal transcribed spacer 2, and large subunit ribosomal RNA". The stretch from base 1 to 120 matches the Rfam family "5.8S ribosomal RNA", at positions 35 to 154 of the family's 154-position model. The record is from RNAcentral.
GAUGAAGAACGCAGCGAAAUGCGAUAAGUAAUGUGAAUUGCAGAAUUCAGUGAAUCAUCGAAUCUUUGAACGCACCUUGCGCUCCUUGGUAUUCCGAGGAGCAUGCCUGUUUGAGUGUCAUUGCUGCCCUCAAGCACGGCUUGUGUGUUGGGCCUCCGUCCUCCUCCCGGGGGACGGGCCCGAAAGGCAGCGGCGGCACCGCGUCCGGUCCUCGAGCGUAUGGGGCUUCGUCACCCGCUCUUGUAGGCCCGGCCGGCGCUUGCCGACACAUCAAUCUUUUUUCCAGGUUGACCUCGGAUCAGGUAGGGAUACCCGCUGAACUUAAGCAUAUCAAUAAGCGGAGGA